RNAcentral lists this ribosomal RNA (595 nucleotides) under uncultured bacterium. RNAcentral's name for it is "bacterial SSU rRNA". It matches the Rfam family "Bacterial small subunit ribosomal RNA", at positions 9 to 638 of the family's 1533-position model. The record is from RNAcentral.
GAGUUUGAUUCUGGCUCAGAACGAACGCUGGCGGCGCGCUUAACACAUGCAAGUCGAACGGCAACGGGUCCUUCGGGAUGCCGGCGAGUGGCGAACGGGUGAGUAACGCGUGGAUACCUGCCCUAUGGUGGGGAAUAACGUCUAGAAAUGGACGCUAAUACCGCAUAAGCCCUAUGGGGGAAAGAUUUAUUGCCAUGGGAGGGGUCCGCGUCGGAUUAGCUAGUUGGUGGGGUAACGGCCUACCAAGGCGACGAUCCGUAGCUGGUCUGAGAGGAUGAUCAGCCACACUGGGACUGAGACACGGCCCAGACUCCUACGGGAGGCAGCAGUGGGGAAUAUUGCGCAAUGGGGGAAACCCUGACGCAGCGACGCCGCGUGGGUGAAGAAGGCCUUAGGGUUGUAAAGCCCUUUCAGUGGGAAAGAUGAUGACGGUACCCACAGAAGAAGCUCCGGCUAACUCCGUGCCAGCAGCCGCGGUAAUACGGAGGGGGCUAGCGUUGUUCGGAAUUACUGGGCGUAAAGGGCGCGUAGGCGGUUGAUCAAGUCAGGAGUGAAAGCCUCGUGCUCAACGCGGGAACUGCUUCUGAAACUGGUC